This 497-nucleotide ribosomal RNA is filed under the name uncultured bacterium. RNAcentral describes it as "partial 16S ribosomal RNA". It matches the Rfam family "Bacterial small subunit ribosomal RNA", at positions 28 to 507 of the family's 1533-position model. The record is from RNAcentral.
GACGAACGCUGGCGGCGUGCCUAAUACAUGCCAGUUGAGCGCUGAAGGUUGGUACUUGUACCAACUGGAUGAGCAGCGAACGGGUGAGUAACGCGUGGGGAAUCUGCCUUUGAGCGGGGGACAACAUUUGGAAACGAAUGCUAAUACCGCAUAAAAACUUUAAACACAAGUUUUAAGUUUGAAAGAUGCAAUUGCAUCACUCAAAGAUGAUCCCGCGUUGUAUUAGCUAGUUGGUGAGGUAAAGGCUCACCAAGGCGAUGAUACAUAGCCGACCUGAGAGGGUGAACGGCCACAUUGGGACUGAGACACGGCCCAAACUCCUACGGGAGGCAGCAGUAGGGAAUCUUCGGCAAUGGACGAAAGUCUGACCGAGCAACGCCGCGUGAGUGAAGAAGGUUUUCGGAUCGUAAAACUCUGUUGGUAGAGAAGAACGUUGGUGAGAGUGGAAAGCUCAUCAAGUGACGGUAACUACCCAGAAGGGGACGGCUAACUACGUG